RNAcentral lists this transfer RNA (60 nucleotides) under Trichosanthes reticulinervis. RNAcentral describes it as "tRNA-Gly". It matches the Rfam family "tRNA". From Rfam's summary of the family: Transfer RNA (tRNA) molecules are approximately 80 nucleotides in length. Their secondary structure includes four short double-helical elements and three loops (D, anti-codon, and T loops). RNAcentral also lists the same sequence under 2 other names. The record is from RNAcentral. Lineage: Eukaryota; Viridiplantae; Streptophyta; Magnoliopsida; Cucurbitales; Cucurbitaceae.
GCGGAUAUAGUUUAGUGGUAAAACCAAGCUAACGAUGCGGGUUCGAUUCCCGCUAUCCGC